ANAGUUUGAUCNUGGCUCANGAUGAACGCUAGCGACNGGCCUAACACNUGCAAGUCGAGGGGCAUCGGGACGUAGCAAUACNUUGCCGGCGACCGGCGGAUGGGUGAGUAACGCGUAUGCAACCUACCCGUAGCAGGGGGAUAGCCUGUUGAAAGACGGAUUAAUACCCCGUAACACAGGGGCUCCGCAUGGAGAUUAUUGUUAAAGGGUCAUUUCUUUUANAGGUGGUCCGGCUGCGGAUGGGCAUGCGUUCCAUUAGGUANUUGGUGUANGUAACAGCUCACCAAGCCGACGAUGGAUAGGGGAACUGANAGGUUGGUCCCCCACACUGGUACUGAGACACGGACCAGACUCCUACGGGAGGCANCANUGAGGAAUCUUGGUCAAUGGACGCAAGUCUGAACCANNCAUGUCGCGUGAAGGAGGACGGCCCUAAGGGUUGUAAACUUCUUUUGCAACGGAAUAAAGUUUGCCACGAGUUGGCGAUUUGCAAGUACNCUGCGAAUAANGAUCGGCUAACUCCGU
This 525-nucleotide ribosomal RNA is filed under the name uncultured bacterium. RNAcentral describes it as "partial 16S ribosomal RNA". It matches the Rfam family "Bacterial small subunit ribosomal RNA", at positions 8 to 506 of the family's 1533-position model. The record is from RNAcentral.